AAUAGAUACCCGGGUAGUCCACGCCGUAAACGAUGAGUGCUAAGUGUUAGAGGGUUUCCGCCCUUUAGUGCUGAAGUUAACGCAUUAAGCACUCCGCCUGGGGAGUACGGCCGCAAGGCUGAAACUCAAAGGAAUUGACGGGGGCCCGCACAAGCGGUGGAGCAUGUGGUUUAAUUCGAAGCAACGCGAAGAACCUUACCAGGUCUUGACAUCCUCUGACAACCCUAGAGAUAGGGCUUCUCCUUCGGGAGCAGAGUGACAGGUGGUGCAUGGUUGUCGUCAGCUCGUGUCGUGAGAUGUUGGGUUAAGUCCCGCAACGAGCGCAACCCUUGAUCUUAGUUGCCAUCAUUAAGUUGGGCACUCUAAGGUGACUGCCGGUGACAAACCGGAGGAAGGUGGGGAUGACGUCAAAUCAUCAUGCCCCUUAUGACCUGGGCUACACACGUGCUACAAUGGACGGUACAAAGAGCUGCAAGACCGCGAGGUAGAGCUAAUCUCAUAAAACCGUUCUCAGUUCGGAUUGUAGG
This 527-nucleotide ribosomal RNA is filed under the name uncultured bacterium. RNAcentral describes it as "bacterial SSU rRNA". It matches the Rfam family "Bacterial small subunit ribosomal RNA", at positions 777 to 1304 of the family's 1533-position model. The record is from RNAcentral.